GACGAACGCUGGCGGCGUGCUUAACACAUGCAAGUCGAACGGAAAGGCCCUGCUUGCAGGGUACUCGAGUGGCGAACGGGUGAGUAACACGUGGGUGAUCUGCCCUGCACUUCGGGAUAAGCCUGGGAAACUGGGUCUAAUACCGGAUAGGAGCCAUUUUUAGUGUGAUGGUUGGAAAGUUUUUUCGGUGUAGGAUGAGCUCGCGGCCUAUCAGCUUGUUGGUGGGGUAAUGGCCUACCAAGGCGGCGACGGGUAGCCGGCCUGGGAGGGUGGACGGCCACACUGGGACUGAGAGACGGCCCAGACUCCGACGGGAGGCAGCAGUGGGGAAUGUUGCACAAUGGGCGCAAGCGUGAUGCAGCGACGCCGCGGGGGGGAUGACGGCCUUCGGGUUGUAAACUCCUUUCGCUAGGGACGAAGCUUUUUGUGACGGUACCUAGAUAAGAAGCACCGGCUAACUACGUG
RNAcentral lists this ribosomal RNA (465 nucleotides) under uncultured bacterium. RNAcentral describes it as "partial 16S ribosomal RNA". It matches the Rfam family "Bacterial small subunit ribosomal RNA", at positions 28 to 507 of the family's 1533-position model. The record is from RNAcentral.